CGAGGUCAUAAAUUCGGCUCCUAUUUUUUUUUUUUUUAAUUUUUUUUCCAUUUGUGUCGAGCCGCGCGCGUAGUUGAAGAGCCUGCGGAGGAGACGACAACUUCCGGUAAAUAAGUGUACUUCCGGAUUAUUUCAAGCAUCGGCCAAAGCGAAACGGAACCCGAAGCUGUCCUUGCACAAAAUCCGUCAAAUUUUUUUAUUUAAAACCAGAAGAUGUGCUAAUGUUGACAUAGAUGUUUAGCUGGAUAACUAUUCUCGAGUAUAUGUUGAUAUAAUGCACAAUACUUCGUAUGCAUAGCAUGGGAAUAC
Molecule: non-coding RNA, 309 nt
Organism: Paramuricea clavata
Lineage: Eukaryota; Metazoa; Cnidaria; Anthozoa; Malacalcyonacea; Plexauridae
Source: the annotation of a GenBank genome assembly